RNAcentral lists this ribosomal RNA (1506 nucleotides) under metagenome. Its description in RNAcentral is "bacterial SSU rRNA". It matches the Rfam family "Bacterial small subunit ribosomal RNA". The record is from RNAcentral.
AGAGUUUGAUCCUGGCUCAGGACGAACGCUGGCGGCGUGCCUAAUACAUGCAAGUAGAACGCUGAAGAGAGGAGCUUGCUCUUCUUGGAUGAGUUGCGAACGGGUGAGUAACGCGUAGGUAACCUGCCUUGUAGCGGGGGAUAACUAUUGGAAACGAUAGCUAAUACCGCAUAACAAUGGAUGACCCAUGUCAUUUAUUUGAAAGGGGCAAAUGCUCCACUACAAGAUGGACCUGCGUUGUAUUAGCUAGUAGGUGAGGUAACGGCUCACCUAGGCGACGAUACAUAGCCGACCUGAGAGGGUGAUCGGCCACACUGGGACUGAGACACGGCCCGGACUCCUACGGGAGGCAGCAGUAGGGAAUCUUCGGCAAUGGGGGCAACCCUGACCGAGCAACGCCGCGUGAGUGAAGAAGGUUUUCGGAUCGUAAAGCUCUGUUGUAAGUCAAGAACGAGUGUGAGAGUGGAAAGUUCACACUGUGACGGUAGCUUACCAGAAAGGGACGGCUAACUACGUGCCAGCAGCCGCGGUAAUACGUAGGUCCCGAGCGUUGUCCGGAUUUAUUGGGCGUAAAGCGAGCGCAGGCGGUUUGAUAAGUCUGAAGUUAAAGGCUGUGGCUCAACCAUAGUUCGCUUUGGAAACUGUCAAACUUGAGUGCAGAAGGGGAGAGUGGAAUUCCAUGUGUAGCGGUGAAAUGCGUAGAUAUAUGGAGGAACACCGGUGGCGAAAGCGGCUCUCUGGUCUGUAACUGACGCUGAGGCUCGAAAGCGUGGGGAGCGAACAGGAUUAGAUACCCUGGUAGUCCACGCCGUAAACGAUGAGUGCUAGGUGUUGGAUCCUUUCCGGGAUUCAGUGCCGCAGCUAACGCAUUAAGCACUCCGCCUGGGGAGUACGACCGCAAGGUUGAAACUCAAAGGAAUUGACGGGGGCCCGCACAAGCGGUGGAGCAUGUGGUUUAAUUCGAAGCAACGCGAAGAACCUUACCAGGCCUUGACAUCCCGAUGCUAUUUCUAGAGAUAGAAAGUUACUUCGGUACAUCGGUGACAGGUGGUGCAUAGUUGUCGUCAGCUCGUGUCGUGAGAUGUUGGGUUAAGUCCCGCAACGAGCGCAACCCCUAUUGUUAGUUGCCAUCAUUCAGUUGGGCACUCUAGCGAGACUGCCGGUAAUAAACCGGAGGAAGGUGGGGAUGACGUCAAAUCAUCAUGCCCCUUAUGACCUGGGCUACACACGUGCUACAAUGGUUGGUACAACGAGUUGCGAGUCGGUGACGGCAAGCUAAUCUCUUAAAGCCAAUCUCAGUUCGGAUUGUAGGCUGCAACUCGCCUACAUGAAGUCGGAAUCGCUAGUAAUCGCGGAUCAGCACGCCGCGGUGAAUACGUUCCCGGGCCUUGUACACACCGCCCGUCACACCACGAGAGUUUGUAACACCCGAAGUCGGUGAGGUAACCUUUUGGAGCCAGCCGCCUAAGGUGGGAUAGAUGAUUGGGGUGAAGUCGUAACAAGGUA